RNAcentral lists this ribosomal RNA (473 nucleotides) under uncultured bacterium. Its description in RNAcentral is "bacterial SSU rRNA". It matches the Rfam family "Bacterial small subunit ribosomal RNA", at positions 335 to 800 of the family's 1533-position model. The record is from RNAcentral.
ACUCCUACGGGAGGCAGCAGUAGGGAAUCUUCCGCAAUGGGCGAAAGCCUGACGGAGCAACGCCGCGUGAGUGAUGAAGGUUUUCGGAUCGUAAAACUCUGUUAUUAGGGAAGAACAAAUGCGUAAGUAACUGUGCGCAUCUUGACGGUACCUAAUCAGAAAGCCACGGCUAACUACGUGCCAGCAGCCGCGGUAAUACGUAGGUGGCAAGCGUUAUCCGGAAUUAUUGGGCGUAAAGCGCGCGUAGGCGGUUUCUUAAGUCUGAUGUGAAAGCCCACGGCUCAACCGUGGAGGGUCAUUGGAAACUGGGAAACUUGAGUGCAGAAGAGGAAAGUGGAAUUCCAUGUGUAGCGGUGAAAUGCGCAGAGAUAUGGAGGAACACCAGUGGCGAAGGCGGCCCCUGGACAAAGACUGACGCUCAGAUGCGAAAGCGUGGGGAGCAAACAGGAUUAGAUACCCUGGUAGCGACUGAU